GGAGGUGCUGUGUCGUCUUGGGGGAGGGAGGAGGGCUCGUUGAGUUCGGGUUUUCCGCUCUGUUUCUUCAUAGCGCGUCCAGCGCCUGCCCUGCCGCCUUUCUUCUUCCCCAGUGAGGGAGCGCCUGGCCUCGCAGCCCGCCUUCCCGGCUCCGUCCCGCGUCCCUGGGCCCGCAUCCCUGCGCACCGCUGCGCUGAGGGCCCGCCGUGCCGCGGCCGUGCAGCCCUGCCCCCCCCGGCUCCUGCUGGUGUAGGUGAUGACUGGACUUUUUUCCCCAUCAGAGCGACCGUGUCGAUCACUCGUCACUCCAGCCAGGUCUCGUCUGAUGCACCAGCAGGGAAGUGCCGCGUUGUCCCUUAGCUGCGCGCUCUGUGCUCACUGCUGCUUUGUUUCGUUUCCAGGCCCGCUGUGAUGGACGGCUGCAGCUGCCCGCCUCGCUCCGCCGUGGGUGAGAUUCCUAAGUCCUUUUAAUACGCGAGUUUUAAGGGGCUUCCUGGAUCGUUCUAAUGCCGUUUUGCCGCGUUAUUAUCUCUGGAGACUUGAAAUAUGAGUAGAUGCGAACGUCAGCCUAGGUUUUGUACAGCCGGAAGCAGUUUUGCUCGUGCAGAAGCAUUAUAACGCGGGCCUGGCGUCGCUCCGGUCACACGCGAGGUGUCAGGUGUAGGAUGGCGAUUCACGAGCACCGCGGCUCGGAUCGCCGGUUACCGCCGUGUCCUCGGCAGGACGGCAUGGCGAGGCCAGCCCGUGCGGACACGUGGGCGCGGCUGUUCGGAGCUGCGGGCGCGGCGAGGGAGCCCAUGGGCGGAGCUGUGCGUCCCCCGGGCGGAACGGGCUGGUUCGGCACUUCUCUACUCUGCCGCUUGCUGGCAGGCCUCUGUGAAGGCAGAAAGGCAUUGGGCCUGCUGGAGACCUGAUGAGAUGGCUGUAGCCAACAGUGGAUCAGCUGUGUGAUGAAGGCAGUCGUCCUGGCUUGCACCACCAUGCAUGAACCUGUAACAGGCCUCUGUGAAGGCAGAGGGACGUUGGGCCUGCUGGAGACCUGAUGAGAUGGCUGUAGGCAGCAGUGGAUCAGUUGUGUGACAACUGCAGUUGCCCUUGGCUUUCUCUGCUUCCACUUUUGAUAGAGGAGCAAAGGUUGAGUAGAUCUCUCAGAAGGCCUGAGGAUUUGCUGCUGUUUCAAAGUACUAGGCGAAAGCUGUCUUCUGCUAGUGAUGUUUCUCUCCAUGCUGCUGCCUGUGAUCCUUGUCCACACUACAGCAUCCGUAUCACUGAAACAACUCCCAUGUCUUUUCCCUUGGUCUUGCCAACUAACAGAUGGCAGGUGUUGUGUUUUUUUCCUUCAUAUGAUGUAUUUAAUCAUAAUGGAUUCUGGAAUUUGCUGCAUGUUUUACGUAAUUGGAUGAUUUUUGUCCGCAAAGGCUGUAUUCACCACAUGACAACUAAUGUUGCUUGACAUUAAAGGAAGCCUGAAAAAGCUGUUGUCAUAUAUGAUGGUCUUGCAUGCAAGGAGAAUUUUGUUUAAUAAAAUCUGUGUACUGUAUGAACUCAA
Non-coding RNA from Phasianus colchicus (ring-necked pheasant), 1549 nucleotides. The record is from RefSeq and is a predicted model, not a curated record. Lineage: Eukaryota; Metazoa; Chordata; Aves; Galliformes; Phasianidae.